This 548-nucleotide ribosomal RNA is filed under the name Glomus sp. VeGlo18. Its description in RNAcentral is "SSU rRNA". It matches the Rfam family "Eukaryotic small subunit ribosomal RNA", at positions 548 to 1098 of the family's 1831-position model. Lineage: Eukaryota; Fungi; Glomeromycota; Glomeromycetes; Glomerales; Glomeraceae. The record is from RNAcentral.
UUGGAGGGCAAGUCUGGUGCCAGCAGCCGCGGUAAUUCCAGCUCCAAUAGCGUAUAUUAAAGUUGCUGCAGUUAAAAAGCUCGUAGUUGAAUUUCGGGACCAAUAUGUCGGUCGUGCCUCGGUACGUACUGGCAUCGUUGGUUUCUCCCUUCUGACGAACCAUGAUGUCAUUCAUUUGGUGUCGUGGGGAAUCAGGACUGUUACUUUGAAAAAAUUAGAGUGUUUAAAGCAGGCUCACGCUUGAAUACAUUAGCAUGGAAUAAUGAAAUAGGACGUUUGAUUCUAUUUUGUUGGUUUCUAGGAUUGACGUAAUGAUUAAUAGGGAUAGUUGGGGGCAUUAGUAUUCAAUUGUCAGAGGUGAAAUUCUUGGAUUUAUUGAAGACUAACUACUGCGAAAGCAUUUGCCAAGGAUGUUUUCAUUAAUCAAGAACGAAAGUUAGGGGAUCGAAGACGAUCAGAUACCGUCGUAGUCUUAACCAUAAACUAUGCCGACUAGGGAUCGGAUGAUGUUAAUUUUUUAAUGACUCAUUCGGCGCCUUACGGGAAAC